AAUGAACGCUGGCGGCGUGCUUAACACAUGCAAGUCGAACGAGGCUGGGGGGCAACUCUCCAGUUGAGUGGCGGACGGGUGAGUAACACGUGGGUAACCUGCCCGGAAGUGGGGAAUACCGUACGGGGAAACUCGAGCUAAUACCGCAUGACAUCUUUGGGACGAGAGUCCUGACGAUCAAAGCGGGGUCGCAAGAUCUCGCGCUACCGGAUGGGCCCGCGCCCGAUUAGCAGUUGGUGAGGUAACGGCUCACCAAGGCUUCGAUCGGUAACCGGCCUGAGAGGGCGAUCGGUCACACCGGAACUGAGACACGGUCCGGACUCCUACGGGAGGCAGCAGUGGGGAAUCUUGCGCAAUGGGCGAAAGCCUGACGCAGCAACGCCGCGUGGAGGAUGAAGGCCCUUGGGUUGUAAACUCCUGUCGGCUGGGAAGAAAUCGCGCGGUGCUCAUACCAUCGCGCGUUGACUGUACCAG
Molecule: ribosomal RNA, 474 nt
Filed under: uncultured bacterium
Lineage: Bacteria
Description: bacterial SSU rRNA
Rfam family: Bacterial small subunit ribosomal RNA
Source: RNAcentral